Molecule: ribosomal RNA, 253 nt
Filed under: uncultured bacterium
Lineage: Bacteria
Description: partial 16S ribosomal RNA
Rfam family: Bacterial small subunit ribosomal RNA
Source: RNAcentral
UACGUAGGGGGCUAGCGUUGUCCGGAUUUAUUGGGCGUAAAGAGCGUGUAGGCGGCCAGGUAGGUCUGGUGUGAAAACUCGAGGCUUAACCUCGAGAUGUCAUCGGAAACCAUCUGGCUAGAGUCCGGAAGAGGAGAGUGGAAUUCCUGGUGUAGCGGUGAAAUGCGCAGAUAUCAGGAAGAACACCCGUGGCGAAGGCGGCUCUCUGGGACGGUACUGACGCUGAGGUGCGAAAGCGUGGGGAGCAAACAGG